Molecule: long non-coding RNA, 424 nt
Filed under: Elaeis guineensis (African oil palm)
Lineage: Eukaryota; Viridiplantae; Streptophyta; Magnoliopsida; Arecales; Arecaceae
Description: long non-coding RNA (EGUI_LNC079408)
Source: RNAcentral
GGUUGGUUAGACAUAUUGAUGUGCUGACCUAAUUUAAUCAGUCGGAUGUUAGAUCUAUUGAUUUAAAAUAGAUCUAAACCCAAAUCUUCUCAUUAAAUAUUAAGUCUAGAGGUCUUCCAUUAUUGUAGAGAUGCGGGUGCCUUCUUGACAUUGAUCAUUCUUGGCUGGUUAUAGUGGUUCGAUUGCAUCAGGAAGGUACAACCACUCUAUUGAUAUUUGAUGUCCUGGGGUAGAGAUGGGGUUGGGCCUAAUAACUGUUAGGUGAGGGUUUCAAUGAUGGCUUUGUAUCUGCUAGUGAAUGAUGGGUUUGACUUAACUAAGAAAUGUGCCAAUAACUGUUAGGUGAGGCCACAAGACUUAGAGACCAAGCCCACUACAUCUUGCUUAGUGAAGCAAUGUAUAAAGUGUUAUCCAUUCAUUAGUC